Molecule: ribosomal RNA, 403 nt
Filed under: uncultured prokaryote
Description: bacterial SSU rRNA
Rfam family: Bacterial small subunit ribosomal RNA
Source: RNAcentral
UGGGGAAUAUUGCGCAAUGGGGGAAACCCUGACGCAGCAACGCCGCGUGAAGGAAGAAGGUUUUCGGAUUGUAAACUUCUUUUAAGAGGGACGAAGAAUGACGGUACCUCUUGAAUAAGCCACGGCUAACUACGUGCCAGCAGCCGCGGUAAUACGUAGGUGGCAAGCGUUGUCCGGAUUUACUGGGUGUAAAGGGCGAGUAGGCGGGAUAUCAAGUCAGAUGUGAAAUCUGGGGGCGCAACCCCCAAACUGCAUUUGAAACUGAUGUUCUUGAGUGAUGGAGAGGCAGGCGGAAUUCCCGGUGUAGCGGUGGAAUGCGUAGAUAUCGGGAGGAACACCAGUGGCGAAGGCGGCCUGCUGGACAUUAACUGACGCUGAGGGACGAAAGCGUGGGGAGCAAACA